AAAAAUUCUCUUAAAAAAAAGCGAACCCAUUUUCUUUAAACUCUUUCAAUUAAAUUGUCUCUUUCUCUCUCAAAUUUUAAUCUCUUCUAUAAAGAAAAACAAAUUCCACGUUAAUCCAGUUAAUCUUGACAAUACGAAAUUGGGGCUACCAAGAAUUGGAAGAAAGAAUAAAAAUAAAAAUUGAAUAUUUAAGAGCCAAGUUUCUUUCCCGCCAACAUAUGCAGACAUUUGCAAUUCACAUAUUACAUUCUGACAGCUUGCCUUUUUUACUCUAACACAGACUUUCACAGUUUGAGAAGAGAAAGAUUAAAACUGGACAAUGUGAUUAAUUGCAAGGUGUUAAAUUUCCUGUUAAAUAACAUCCAUUUAUCAUCUCAUUUUUAGAGCCAUUUGUUGAGGUUUGUUUUUAGCUACUAGGAAAUUACUCUUACUAUCCAAAGUAGGUUGUUACUGUUUUGUUUUCUGUCCGUGAAAAGUUACGUUGAUUUGAUGGAGAAAAACAAAAUGGCUUCUCUUUGAUGGUUAACCUUUUAUUCUUUCUUUCAACAAUCAAAUGUACAUGAUGAAAGUUUGGCAUGUUCAACUAUCUCCCUAAUUAACAACAACGAUUAUGGUGAUAAUGAUGAUGAUGAUUACAGUCCUUGGUGGUCAGUUUUUGAUACAGAGAUUUAUAAUUGAGAUUGUCCAACAAGCAACAUUUUCUUUCUUGACACAAUGUUGUGGGUGUUCUAGAUGAUCAUAAUUAAGAUGAUGAUGAUGAUGAUGAUGCCUUCGCCUUUUCUUUUCACGGUUACCAUUCCCUUUAAUGAAUAAUCAUCAUGAAAGUAUUCAGGAUGUACAUUAAUUGAAAAACAAAUAAACAUCAAACAAUGAAGUGUGUGUGUGUUUGUGUGUUGGUUGGCUCAUCAUCAUUGGAAAGUAAAGUUUUUUGAAAUUCUGGGUUUCUUUUUCUUUUUUUGGUACAACAACAAAGGAAACAAGCGACUUAUUCAGCAAUAAAAUAUUCUGAAGAUGAUGCAAGGAGAUGAAGAAAAAACAAACUACAGAGAAAGGAAAAGAAAGAGAGGAUUAAAGAGAAGGAUUUAAAGCCAAGAAAUUAUUUUGUUAAAGUUACAAGUGACAAAGAAGAAAAUGAGGGAAUGGAAAAAGUUACCAUGUUAGACAAUCAUCGUCAACCUUAUCAUCUUCUUAUGGUGUAUUAGUUUAAAUGCUUCAAAUCACAAUUACUUGAAACUUUCUCUACCACCACCACCACCGCCAUCAUCAUCAUCAUCAUCAUCAUCAUCACAGUUAACAAACAAACAUGCGAUAUCUAAUCUCCCCUUGAAUUGUUUCAUUUGUCAAUAUCUUAUGAUAAUAUUUUUGGAGGUAAAAACAAGUUGCACUGAAACUUUGUUUACUUCUCUAACUUUUACCCAUCUCUCUUUCUGUCUUAUUAUAAUAUUUGCCUGAGAUGUAUUGAAAUUAUCAUUUUACCAGAAUAUUUCGACAGUUAGACAGAAAAUGUAUGUCUCUCUGUGGUUGACGGUUUGAUGACUAUGGUUUUACGGUGAAAUAUGCACUUUGGUAAAGGUCAUGAGGCAAUAGAUCAUCUAGGAAAUGAGUUUAAAUAACUUAGCAAAAAGAGAGGGAAAAGACAAAGCCAAAAGUAAAGAGAAGGAGCAAAAUUGGAAGACAAGGAGGAGGCAAUUAUGUUUACUACUUCAAGUGAUACUCUUCAUAAGUUACAUAUCUCUGUUGGUUUUAUACUUUCCACUGGAGGAUUAUCUGCCGCUCUGUGACAUAGAAAUGCGUGUAUCAGGAAAAUGGAAAGACCUCAGACGUGGCGAAAGAAAAUUCUGAUUGAUCCCAAAACAACAAUAAUCAUCUACCACACAGACAUAAUCGUCAUCAUCUCGUCUUCAACAUCAACAAACACUUCAUCAUCUUUCAUCUGUAUCCCUCUUUCUCUCUCUCUCUCUUCAAUAUGAAUUCUUGUAAACAGACAGUAGGCGAAACUAGAUUGACAAUUGAUUCAGCAGUUAACAGUUAAGAAGGAGGGUGAGGGUUGAGGUGGAGAAGAUGGUGAAAGUCACAAGUCACAUUCACAAACUGUCAAAAAUUAUUGGAUAAUAUUUAUCAGACUUUCAAUUUUUUAUCAUCAUAUGUGAAUAAAAGGCUCUCCCUCUCUCAUAUCAACCACACUUAAGGAUGAUGACAAAGUAUAUUACAUGUAUCACUUGAAUUUGGAAACUUGUGAACCUACAGUUUAUUUUUGGCCUUUGGAGGUAUAAUCAUGUUUUUAUCAUCAUCUUCUCGAUAUUCAAUCUCAAUGCUGAUUCAAUAGACGUCGUAAUUUCUCUCGACCCUGAAAAUUUAGUUUGUUUGACAAUCUUCUUGUUGGUUUGAUCUUCUUUCAUGAUAAUUUCAACCUAUUAUGAUCAACUUGUCACCCGAAGAGGAAGAUGAUGGAAAUACAACAAGAAAGAAACAAAACUGAUAUCAGAUAAAUGUGAUAACUUAUCUAUUCUAUUGCAUGGAGCAGAUAUAAAUAGUAAUUUGGAGAAAAAAAAAUAGGAGAGAAAAGAAAUUUCAAAUUUUAUGAUACAGAAAGAGAGAUAAGAUGAAGAUGAAGAUGAAGAUGGAAAUGAUGAUGACGAAAAACAUAGAAGUUGCAAGAUUAGUUGAAUAUUACAUGUACUCAGAUUGGAAAGGUUACUUUGACUUCUUGCAUACUUUUCAAGUCUCUGUGUUCUGGAGCCUUUUGUUUUACAUCUUCUUCUCUCUUCUCUCCUCUCUUCUCUUUCUCUCUCUCACUCUGUCUCUGUCUAUGUGAUUCUCACCGAUAUCAUCAUCACUCCAACAGACGAAUUAUUUCAUUGAGAGAUUGUUUCGUCAUGUUAAUCUUUUCUUCUUUUUCUCACUUUUUCUUCAUGUAACUGUACUUAUCCUGUAAGGAUGAAAAAGAAGAUCCAAAGAGAGAGAGAGAGAGAGAGAGAGAGAGAGAGAGAGAAUAAGAAAGAAAAGAAAGGAAAACUUGCCAAAAUCUCUGAUCUUAGGCCAAUGUGUGUUAGAGGAAAAAGACAGAGAAAAUGAAAGAGCAGGAAAAUGUUGAUGAGGAUGAUGAGAAAAAAAGACAAGGGACAUUAAGUUUAAUGAACUUUUCUCAUCUCACUUCGCGUUGAGCUUAAUUCACUUCUCAUUUUGUCAUCCUCAUCCUCAUCUCUCUCUCUCUUUCUCUCUUAUGUAGUUAACCCAAAUGUCAACAUGAAACAAACAGUUGAUAAAAUAUCUUGAUUGGUAUUUAAAUAAUUAUUACACUUUAAGCUCAUCAUCUAAUCUCAAGUUAAUAGGAGCAAAAAAGGUUUCUCCAUGUUUAUCGUGUUAAUUGUGGAGAGAAGGAGAAAGUUUUUCCACCAAGAGAAUUGAUUUGAUUCAAUAUAUCACUAAUGUUAUGAUACACUUGAAAUAAUUCAAUCUUAAUCAAACUGUGAUUACCUUGAUCUGAUUUGGUGAGAGAAAGUAUCUGAACCAUCAUCAUUAUCAUCAUCAACUACAAUAUCAACAUUUUCAUGAAAAUCUUUAAAGAGAAAAAGAGAAACAUUUCAAGGCUUUCAAAUGAAUUCGGCGGGAAAAGCCUUUGUUCCCAGUUAACCUUGAGGUGGAAAAAAAGAACUGAAGUUUAAGAAUAUCUUCAAGAUUCCAAGGACAAACUACGGUUCCUCUUAUACUCUCACUCUCACUUGAGCUCAGCUCACAUGCUCUCUCUCUCUCUCUCUCUCUCUCUCUCUCUCUCUCUCUCUCUCUCUCCUCUCUCUCUAUCGUUUCCUCUCUCACAACAAUUCCCAAGCCAUAGUGACCUGUUCAGCUUUACCAUGUAAACACAACAUAAAAAACCGUAAAGCUUUAAACGGAAUCCAAAUGAGGCCCAACCUUUUUUCAUUCAAAUAUUUCAUCAUUUCAAUCAACAAACAAACAAACAUCAUCAAAAAUGAGCUAUUCAAAUCUACUACAAUGAUCCUUCAUAAUAUCACACAAACAACAACAACAACAUGUAAACAUAAGAUCAACAUCUUGACAUGAUAAUAUAUAAUUAAAACGGGAGCAAGAAGAUGAUGAUGUGUAGAUGGUAACAGGAUCAAAGUAAAAAAAAGCCAAAGACUAACCUUAAAUAUGAUAAAAUAAUGGCCACAAUUUGAUGUUUACCAACAAUUAUCGUCUCAUUUGAUUAGUCUCCUUACGUAUGGUGUCUCAUUGGUAAACAAUUACCAAUGAUACGUGAUUAACAUGAUGUUCAUAUGAUUAGUGUGUACAAUAAUCAACUCUCACCUUCACCAUGAUAAUUAUCAUUUAUCAACAUGACGAUGAUGAUUAUCAAUGCAAAUAUCCCGUUGGAUACAAACCCUGUUACCUACACCAGGUAAACCAUGAAGGAGGAGCGGGAACCAGCAAGAGGAUAAUGUUGGUUGAGCAAAGGAACAACAAACAACUUUUGUAACUUUGUAUUAAAGGUAAUGUUUUUUUCUUCAUCAUUUCCAAUCUUAUCUCAUCUUCAUCUCACAGCAGUUUGUCAAAAUCCAGGUAAAUGAACGUGCGUACAUUUGAACGUAAUGAUUUUUAAGCCUUCUGUGUGUCUUUAUUAUUUUUUAGUUAAUGUAUGUUAGUUAGUUUUAAUUACUUCGUUAACUUUAGAAAUACAAGAAAAAAGUCAAGGUUUUUUUCUCUUUUUUCUGUAUUUACCUGUACUUUCCUCUCUCUCUCUCCAUCUCUCCCUCUUGCUUUCAGAUCUGAUGAUGAUGAGAUUUAUGAGCAUGAUGAUUAACUAAUUCAUAUGCACAUAUCUAUGCAAUUGAUUUCUCUUUGUUUAUAUUGUUGAUCAUUUGAUUUUUCUCUCUCAUUAUGACUACUUGCAAUCGAUGAUUGUUCAUCAUUUCAUAUCGAUUUGCAAUCAAUAUUAUGGUUAAUUUUUCGUUAGCUAAAUUUUAUUAUUAAUUUUCGGUUUUAAUUGUAUCAAUUUCUUACUACGUGUCCAUCUUUGAUCGUUUACUAGUCCCAAGUAACUUUUGGUGAGAUUUUUUUUUAGUUUUAGCUGCUCUUUGAUUUAGCAAUUACCUCACAUUGGAUAACAAUUGAACGAUUUUGUAUUAAUUAACUUUUAUUUUUACAGGUAAAAGUGGAGGUGGUUGAUGUGGAUGAUUGAAGAUAAAUGAAGAUAAAUGAAGAUAAGGAAAACAAGGAAACUAUAUCAGGAAAACGUUGGAAUUGAAUGUAUUCAAUUGACCCAUUAAAGGAAGAUCUUAGAGAGAGAGAGAGAGAGAGAGAGAGAUACCUGAUGAUGACCAUGAUGAUGAUGAUCAACAUCAUCAUAGUGUUGACUGGUUACUUUUUUGUGUAAAUUGCUAAAAAAUUUAAAAUUGCUUGAAGAAUAAUUAACCAACAAUUAAUAUAUUGCAAACAGUGUCAAGAUUUGUAUAUCCCUUGGAGCAAAUUCCCUCACGUAAAUCGCAAUUGAUUUAUGAUCAAUUACAAUGAUCAAAAGUAAUCAAGUAAUUGAAAGAAAGAGAGAAAUUAACUAAAUGAAAAUGGAAAAAUGCUCUUAAAUGAACAAUUUAAUUUGCUUUCAUUCAGCAAUCAAACUUGAAAGAGUUAACAAUCAACACCAAAGAUUCAUCAAAAUUGAAAAGUUACAAAUCAAAAAAAAAAGAAAUCAAAAGGAUCAAAAUACAAGGAGAGAUACUAAUCAAGUUAAUUGUGAUAAUUUGAGAAGACAUGUUACAAUUUCAGUCUCAAUUCUGGUUGUUGUUUAUUCUUGAUCAUUUCAACUGAUUUGAAAGAUUAACCUUUUGUUGAUUGACUGAAAAUGCAAGUAAACAAUUAAUUAGAACUGUUAAUUAGUGUGUCUCAUUUCAUAAUUAGCUAAUACUAUCAAUAUUUGAGCUGAGAUGAGGAGAAAAGUUGGAAAAAAAAAGAUGAAUCAAAAUUUUGAGCGAACAAAAGUUUUUCCAAUACAAUCAUGUUGUUCAGUGAUUAUCGUUUGGAAUGAGAUUUCAUGUAUCAAUAUCAUGGUGAUCAGUUUAAUUUUAUUGUAUUACCUUGAAAUGGAGAGGGAUGAACAGGGGAAAUCCAAUGGUCAACAGAUUUAAAGGAAAAGUCUGAAUGAAAAAAUUUUAAUCCAUUGAUGAAGAUGAAGAUGAAGAAGAUGAUGAUUUGGAUUUCCAAAAGGCAACCAUGCAAACUUGACAAGGAUACAUGAUGAUGAGGAUGAAAUGUUCAGGAUGAUCUGGAAAAAAGGAUGAUGAUUAUUAUAUGAAGAUGAACAAAAAGGGAAUUCCUUGAAUUCUGGUUGGCAUGAGGAUGAAAUAAUAAAGAUAAACACCCAACAUGAUGAUGAUUAUCAUGAGCAUCAUCUUUAUGAAUAAGUAGGAGAGAUGAAGAUGAUGAAAAUGAUGAUAUAUAUUGCUAAUUUGUUAAUCUUUAAAUUUAAAUUUCAUCACUUUAAUUGGCUGAUUAGGUGAAAAAUUGUUCCAAAGGGAAAAUAUUUCAUUCAUAUUUCCCUGAGUUGAGCUGAUUGUUGAUGAUGAUAAUUGAAUGAUGAGCAUUUGCUUUCUGUAUUAUUCAUCCUCAUUCAUCAAUUAGUUUGUUAUAAUUUAACCAAUAUUGGGAUUAACUGGCUUUCAGUUUAAUUAACUUGAUGAUGAUCAUCAUGAUUACAUUUUAAAUCAACUUAAUUGUUACAAUAAAAUGUUUCUUGGCUCUCAUGUUGCUUUUGCCUGAUUAUUAUUAUGAUAUCUUUUCAAUGGACCAAUGAAAAAAUUAAAUGUUACCCAACAUUUAAAUUGUUAGUUAAUCAUAAUUAACAUCAUAAUCAUCAUUCCGAUUUGGUAGAUUGAUUUUUCAAUGUUAUGAUUAAAUGAUUGAUCAUCAUCAUUAUUAUUAGAGAGAGAGAGAGACAAUGAAAUUUAAUUAUCAUUAAAUAUUAAGCAAUUAACUGUGUAUAAUUUGAUGAUAAAAUGAAAAUGUUAUUAUGAUCGAUAAGCCAGUUAAUUGUUACAAUUUACAUGUUGAUUAACAUUUAAAUUACAAUAACAAAUAUCAAAUUGUGUUGAUUUCAAAUUCAAUGGGUCAGAUCAAUAGUAUUAGUUUACACAAUUAGUUAACCAAAAUGGUAACAAUUAAUUUAGUUAUCAAAAUAAUUUCCCUUUUUUUGCUUCCCUAUUGUAUUAAACACUUAAUCAACAAGUUAAUCAACACAAUUAAUAAAUACUUUGAUUAUUAUUAUUAUGAUGUCUACCCUUAAUUGCCACAAUUAAUUGUUGUUAUUUUGUUGUUGUUGUUGUUGUUUUUUACUAUUACAUGUUUCAUUUUGAUUUGAUUGACAAUUAAAUGAUAUUGUUUCAUCUGAUUGUUUAAACAAUGACAAUUAAUUGAUAAUAAAUAUUAAUAAUCAUACACAAUGAUUAACAUUGUAACAAUUUAAUAAUAAACUUCAGAUGAUUUGAUGACAAUCAACAUUGGUCUAUGGGGAAGACUCAUCAUCAGACUUAAUUCAACUGGUUAAUUUAAAUUGUUGAUCAUUUAAAUCAACAGGUAAUCAAGUUAACUGUCAAUUGAUUAUUCCGUUAAUUGUGUCUGUUUAGUUAACAGAAAAGUAUUUAAAUUAUUCCCCUUGGUGUUAAAUCAAUUGACAUUCAACUUUUCUCAUUUCGAUCAAACUAAUUACAAUUAGUUAAUUAUCUCUCUCUCUCUCUUUUCUCUGUUAAUUGUCAUUGUAAUUGUAAUUUCUGACCUAAUUCUGAUUAAUUGUUUAUCUAUUGCCAACGAUGUAAGUUAACUAACAAUUUAAAUGUGUUUCCAUGAUUAUUGAUAACCGAUAAUCAAUUGAUUGUUACUGUUUCCUUUUGUUUGCUUGUCAAUUUGUUUCUCUUGUUCAAUGUUACAAUUAAAACUGUUUCAUUUCCGGAUUAUCUUCAUUUCCGUUAAUUGACAAAACCAAGAAACCAAAAAGAUGGUGAAAUAAUUAAAAUUAACCAUAAUAAUCAAUCAAUCGAUCGUUAAAAAAAACUGAUUAACACAUCAACUAUUAUUAAUACCAUAAUCAAGUUAUUAUCAUAACAUUAUGAGAGACAAACAAAAAACAUUGAGACAAGAAAAGUGAACAAUUAAAAGUAAACCAAAAUUUACGAUCAAUUUAAUUAGUACAUUGAUUGUUGAUUAUGUUAAUUGCUGCUGUUGAUGAUGUUAUUCAAGAUUAUGUUAAAUAUUAUUAUAACUUUGGCAGCUAAGGCAAGUUUAUUACAAUUAAAACAACCUAAUCAUCAGAAAAUCACAAUUUUAAAGACGAUCAUUAUAAUUGUAAUCCAACAGAAAGUAAACAAUUUAAAAGCAGCUCACAAAUUGUCUAGUAGCCAACAAUUGAAUCUUAAAUUAUAAUAAUUAAAAGGUGAACGCACAAUCAACUCUCUCUCUCUCUCUCUCUCUCUCUCUCUCUCUCUCUCUCUCUCUCUCUCUCUGUGUUUCUCAACAAUUAAGGUUAAACCAGUUAAAUUUCAAUACCAGUUUAUUAAUAGGUUAAUCCCAUAGGUUCAAUAGUUCGGGUUGAACAAUUAACGAAACUAUUAAAAGGUUGGAAAGAUGAAAAAAUGUCUCUCGAAAUUGUAGUUACGAAGAGAAAAAAAGUUAAUCGCAAAUCAAUAUAAUCAUGUAAACAUUGUAACAAUUUAACAAUUGACAGGAACAAUAUAAUCAUCAUAAUCAAUGCCAAUUAAUUGUCAACAAUCGAGAGAAAAAACUUAGAACUUAAAAUGUUCGCAAAGUUGAAUCGUCGGUGAAGCAAAAAAAGAAAAGUUUUUUUUUUCGUUACAACGAAAAUCGAGAAAACGAGAAAAAAGAGUUUGAUAAUUAUUUCAAACUCUUUUUCAUCUUCUCUGUCUUUUUCUCUUUCUAUUAUUUUUUCUCCUCCAUCAUCGUUUCUCCCUCGUUUUCUCGCAACUUUUUUUUUCUUCCAAAAUCCUUCAGAACUUUUUGGAAUCGUUGACCAGAUACAAGGACAUCAAGUCGACGACGAUAUUAAAACAUGAAGGUUUUUCUGUUCAUGGAAACCACUUUUUCUCCAUGUUGCUGAAUCGUUUUUAUAUCUUGAUACUAUUAUUAUUAUCUCAAAGUUACUAACACUUUUUUACUCAACUUUUUGCUGUUUGUUGUUCACAAUUAAUCAAAUAUCAUUGAGAUUAUGUUGAUGAUGAUGAUUUAGAGUCACUAGAGAUAAUCAUCAUCAGGAUAAACUAAUAAUAACUCAGGUAAACUAUAUCAUGUCAACGAUUUCGUUACAAGGUAACGAUAAGCAAUCAACGAAACUUUGUUUUUUUUUCUCACUCGCAAUUAUUAUCAUUGUUUUUUUUUCUUCGUCUUUUAAUUGUGCUGAUUGUUGAUUAUUUAUCUAAGACAAAUUGUUUCAAUGUUUUAACUUUUUUUUCUCGUUCUUUUCUCUUCAUUCAUAUAAUCAUAAUUAUCACUAACAACAAUUGAUUGCGGGUGCGUAGCAAUUAAAUUGAUUGUAAGUCAUUUCCAGAAAGUUUUGAUUCUCAUGUUGAUUAAUAUAUAUAAAUAUACAAUUAGAUUUUCAUCUGAUAAUUAGUUUGGGGAUGAUGAUGAUGAUGAUGAUGAUGAUGAUGAUGAUUAUUAUAAGGAUGAUGAUGAUGAUUUGGUGUGAUGAAUGAUGAUGAAUGAUGAUGAUGAUAAUUGUAAUCAACUGACUAACUUAUUCAAGGUAUUCAAGUUAACAAGAUGUUUGGUAAAAGCAGAAAAUAAAGUUUCAUCAUCAUCAAAGUUAAUCAUCAUGAUCGUAAUCUUAAUCAUCAAUAAUAGACGUAUUUAAAUUGCAAUUGAUUUAAACUACUUAGUUAAUUGUUAAUCUAAUGGAAAAUCAUUGAUAACAAUUUUUACCAACAACGAACACACAACAAAUCUAACAACAUGAUAAUAGCAAAUAAACACUUCGUUAAUUGUUUGAUAAUAUACAAUUAGAUUGCAUUUUAAUCAUAUGUUGAUGAUUUAAUUUAGUGAAAAAAAAAGGUAAUCCUAAAGUUUGUAAACACUUUAACAAAUUGUCAUUCGCUGUGUUGAUACAAUUAACUGUUAAUUGUUAGGUUGGCAAAACACUAGAUGCAAAGUUGAUUGACAAGAAGCAAAAAGGUGAAAACAAAAGUUUCAAUGGAAAGUUAAUUGUCACCAUUUCGUUGAUAUUUUUUUUACUAUUUAGACAAAACUGUUUACAAUCAUCAUCAUCAUCAUCAAGUCUUACUAAUUUGCUGUUGUCUUGUAGUUCCCAUCAUCAUCCUCAUCCUCAUCUACUGUUGACCUGAUUUUCUCGAUAUUUACCCCGAGAGGUCAAAGGCUAAACUACAAGUCUCCAUUAUCUUUACCGGAUGUCACUCGAUUGGAUGUUGAUAAUUCCCAUGAAAUAUCAGGGGAGAGAGAGAGAGACUCAUCAUCCGUAUCUUAAUCACGAUUACGAAGAUCAAAUCAAACGAUAAUGAGAUUAAUGAUUCAACAAUGAAUAUAAGAUAACAUCCUUAAUCUCUGUAUGAUUUACAUUUCCUUUGGAGAGGAACAUGAAAAAGAGGAAAAGGAAACAAGAAAAAAGAAAAAAAAAAUUUUUCUUCUCGUUCCAAGGAAACAUUUAAUUCUCACUCUCUCACUAAAUAUAUAUUUAUGUAUUCCACAUAUUGAGCCCCAUGUAAAAUCCAUUGGCCCAUGGAAUUGGUAAAUGUCUAGGUUAUCAUAUCCUACAAGUGAUUUAAAUGGUGAUCACUAAUUGCAGGCACCGGCUAACGAGGUUUAAUUGCUAUUGCAAUCUGUUUUCUUCUCAUUAAUUGUAAUUUGCAUAUUAGUUAAUCAAUUCAAUCGAACCAUGAAUUUCACACCUCGAUUCACUAGAUCUUAAUAUUAAUCAUAGGAAAAUUAAUCAUAAUUCUGAUUCUAAUCAUGAUCAAGUGUCUGCUAAUCAUUGAUACAAAUCAUAAUUUCAACUUGUUUCUCUCUCGCCUAUGUAAUAACAAUAUAAUCAUUUUUUUUGUUAAUUGUUGAAACAAACAACGAAAAUAAAUUGCUGAUUAAACA
Molecule: long non-coding RNA, 11097 nt
Organism: Panonychus citri (citrus red mite)
Lineage: Eukaryota; Metazoa; Arthropoda; Arachnida; Trombidiformes; Tetranychidae
Exons: 12
Source: RefSeq, a predicted model, not a curated record